AUUGAACGCUGGCGGCAGGCCUAACACAUGCAAGUCGAACGGUAACAGGAAGAAGCUUGCUUCUUUGCUGACGAGUGGCGGACGGGUGAGUAAUGUCUGGGAAACUGCCUGAUGGAGGGGGAUAACUACUGGAAACGGUAGCUAAUACCGCAUAACGUCGCAAGACCAAAGAGGGGGACCUUCGGGCCUCUUGCCAUCGGAUGUGCCCAGAUGGGAUUAGCUAGUAGGUGGGGUAACGGCUCACCUAGGCGACGAUCCCUAGCUGGUCUGAGAGGAUGACCAGCCACACUGGAACUGAGACACGGUCCAGACUCCUACGGGAGGCAGCAGUGGGGAAUAUUGCACAAUGGGCGCAAGCCUGAUGCAGCCAUGCCGCGUGUAUGAAGAAGGCCUUCGGGUUGUAAAGUACUUUCAGCGGGGAGGAAGGGAAUAAAGUUAAUACCUUUACUCAUUGACGUUACCCGCAGAAGAAGCACCGGCUAACUCCGUG
RNAcentral lists this ribosomal RNA (490 nucleotides) under uncultured bacterium. Its description in RNAcentral is "partial 16S ribosomal RNA". It matches the Rfam family "Bacterial small subunit ribosomal RNA", at positions 30 to 507 of the family's 1533-position model. The record is from RNAcentral.